UAGGGAAUCUUCCACAAUGGACGCAAGUCUGAUGGAGCAACGCCGCGUGAGUGAAGAAGGUUUUCGGAUCGUAAAGCUCUGUUGUUGGUGAAGAAGGAUAGAGGUAGUAACUGGCCUUUAUUUGACGGUAAUCAACCAGAAAGUCACGGCUAACUACGUGCCAGCAGCCGCGGUAAUACGUAGGUGGCAAGCGUUGUCCGGAUUUAUUGGGCGUAAAGCGAGCGCAGGCGGAAGAAUAAGUCUGAUGUGAAAGCCCUCGGCUUAACCGAGGAACUGCAUCGGAAACUGUUUUUCUUGAGUGCAGAAGAGGAGAGUGGAACUCCAUGUGUAGCGGUGGAAUGCGUAGAUAUAUGGAAGAACAACAGUGGCGAAGGCGACUCUCUGGUCUGCAACUGACGCUGAGGCUCGAAAGCAUGGGUAGCGAACAGG
Molecule: ribosomal RNA, 429 nt
Filed under: bacterium
Lineage: Bacteria
Also listed under: 1 other name
Description: partial 16S ribosomal RNA
Rfam family: Bacterial small subunit ribosomal RNA
Source: RNAcentral